GUCUCCGGACAUAUCAGCCUGAAGGCGCUAGAUCUUGUCUGCUCUCAGAAGUUAAGCAGGUCGGGCCUGGUUAGUAUCUUGGAUGGGAGACCACCUGGGAAUCCCGGGUGCUCGAGGCU
Molecule: ribosomal RNA, 119 nt
Filed under: Bison bison bison
Lineage: Eukaryota; Metazoa; Chordata; Mammalia; Artiodactyla; Bovidae
Source: RNAcentral